GGCGCAGCUGGCCCGUGGUGCGGCCACGCUCGCCUUGCAGGCGGGCGAUCGGCAGCGCACUCUCGGCAUGGGCGCGUUCGAUCAGCGCGUCGCCG
RNAcentral lists this transfer RNA (95 nucleotides) under Cupriavidus yeoncheonensis. Its description in RNAcentral is "tRNA-Ala". The record is from RNAcentral. Lineage: Bacteria; Pseudomonadati; Pseudomonadota; Betaproteobacteria; Burkholderiales; Burkholderiaceae.